GGAAGUAAAAGCGUAACAAGGUUUCCGUAGGUGAACCUGCGGAAGGAUCAUUAUUGUAUAACCGAGGUGCGAGGGCUGUCGCUGACCCGAAAGGUCGUGCACGCCCGAGUGCUCUCACACACAUCCAUCUCACCCCUAUGUGCACCACCGCGUGGGUCCCCCUUUGGCUUGUUCGGAGGGGGGCUUACGUUUUCACACGAACUUUGUAUGCAGUGUAGAAUGUAUUUUUUGUUUUUGCGAUCACGCAAUCAAUACAACUUUCAACAACGGAUCUCUUGGCUCUC
RNAcentral lists this unclassified non-coding RNA (284 nucleotides) under plant metagenome. Its description in RNAcentral is "partial contains small subunit ribosomal RNA, internal transcribed spacer 1, and 5.8S ribosomal RNA". The stretch from base 1 to 53 matches the Rfam family "Eukaryotic small subunit ribosomal RNA", at positions 1778 to 1831 of the family's 1831-position model. The record is from RNAcentral.